This 2395-nucleotide ribosomal RNA is filed under the name Escherichia coli. Its description in RNAcentral is "partial 23S ribosomal RNA". It matches the Rfam family "Bacterial large subunit ribosomal RNA", at positions 418 to 2798 of the family's 2925-position model. Lineage: Bacteria; Pseudomonadati; Pseudomonadota; Gammaproteobacteria; Enterobacterales; Enterobacteriaceae. The record is from RNAcentral.
CGGGACACGUGGUAUCCUGUCUGAAUAUGGGGGGACCAUCCUCCAAGGCUAAAUACUCCUGACUGACCGAUAGUGAACCAGUACCGUGAGGGAAAGGCGAAAAGAACCCCGGCGAGGGGAGUGAAAAAGAACCUGAAACCGUGUACGUACAAGCAGUGGGAGCACGCUUAGGCGUGUGACUGCGUACCUUUUGUAUAAUGGGUCAGCGACUUAUAUUCUGUAGCAAGGUUAACCGAAUAGGGGAGCCGAAGGGAAACCGAGUCUUAACUGGGCGUUAAGUUGCAGGGUAUAGACCCGAAACCCGGUGAUCUAGCCAUGGGCAGGUUGAAGGUUGGGUAACACUAACUGGAGGACCGAACCGACUAAUGUUGAAAAAUUAGCGGAUGACUUGUGGCUGGGGGUGAAAGGCCAAUCAAACCGGGAGAUAGCUGGUUCUCCCCGAAAGCUAUUUAGGUAGCGCCUCGUGAAUUCAUCUCCGGGGGUAGAGCACUGUUUCGGCAAGGGGGUCAUCCCGACUUACCAACCCGAUGCAAACUGCGAAUACCGGAGAAUGUUAUCACGGGAGACACACGGCGGGUGCUAACGUCCGUCGUGAAGAGGGAAACAACCCAGACCGCCAGCUAAGGUCCCAAAGUCAUGGUUAAGUGGGAAACGAUGUGGGAAGGCCCAGACAGCCAGGAUGUUGGCUUAGAAGCAGCCAUCAUUUAAAGAAAGCGUAAUAGCUCACUGGUCGAGUCGGCCUGCGCGGAAGAUGUAACGGGGCUAAACCAUGCACCGAAGCUGCGGCAGCGACGCUUAUGCGUUGUUGGGUAGGGGAGCGUUCUGUAAGCCUGUGAAGGUGUACUGUGAGGUAUGCUGGAGGUAUCAGAAGUGCGAAUGCUGACAUAAGUAACGAUAAAGCGGGUGAAAAGCCCGCUCGCCGGAAGACCAAGGGUUCCUGUCCAACGUUAAUCGGGGCAGGGUGAGUCGACCCCUAAGGCGAGGCCGAAAGGCGUAGUCGAUGGGAAACAGGUUAAUAUUCCUGUACUUGGUGUUACUGCGAAGGGGGGACGGAGAAGGCUAUGUUGGCCGGGCGACGGUUGUCCCGGUUUAAGCGUGUAGGCUGGUUUUCCAGGCAAAUCCGGAAAAUCAAGGCUGAGGCGUGAUGACGAGGCACUACGGUGCUGAAGCAACAAAUGCCCUGCUUCCAGGAAAAGCCUCUAAGCAUCAGGUAACAUCAAAUCGUACCCCAAACCGACACAGGUGGUCAGGUAGAGAAUACCAAGGCGCUUGAGAGAACUCGGGUGAAGGAACUAGGCAAAAUGGUGCCGUAACUUCGGGAGAAGGCACGCUGAUAUGUAGGUGAAGUCCCUCGCGGAUGGAGCUGAAAUCAGUCGAAGAUACCAGCUGGCUGCAACUGUUUAUUAAAAACACAGCACUGUGCAAACACGAAAGUGGACGUAUACGGUGUGACGCCUGCCCGGUGCCGGAAGGUUAAUUGAUGGGGUUAGCGCAAGCGAAGCUCUUGAUCGAAGCCCCGGUAAACGGCGGCCGUAACUAUAACGGUCCUAAGGUAGCGAAAUUCCUUGUCGGGUAAGUUCCGACCUGCACGAAUGGCGUAAUGAUGGCCAGGCUGUCUCCACCCGAGACUCAGUGAAAUUGAACUCGCUGUGAAGAUGCAGUGUACCCGCGGCAAGACGGAAAGACCCCGUGAACCUUUACUAUAGCUUGACACUGAACAUUGAGCCUUGAUGUGUAGGAUAGGUGGGAGGCUUUGAAGUGUGGACGCCAGUCUGCAUGGAGCCGACCUUGAAAUACCACCCUUUAAUGUUUGAUGUUCUAACGUGGACCCGUAAUCCGGGUUGCGGACAGUGUCUGGUGGGUAGUUUGACUGGGGCGGUCUCCUCCUAAAGAGUAACGGAGGAGCACGAAGGUUGGCUAAUCCUGGUCGGACAUCAGGAGGUUAGUGCAAUGGCAUAAGCCAGCUUGACUGCGAGCGUGACGGCGCGAGCAGGUGCGAAAGCAGGUCAUAGUGAUCCGGUGGUUCUGAAUGGAAGGGCCAUCGCUCAACGGAUAAAAGGUACUCCGGGGAUAACAGGCUGAUACCGCCCAAGAGUUCAUAUCGACGGCGGUGUUUGGCACCUCGAUGUCGGCUCAUCACAUCCUGGGGCUGAAGUAGGUCCCAAGGGUAUGGCUGUUCGCCAUUUAAAGUGGUACGCGAGCUGGGUUUAGAACGUCGUGAGACAGUUCGGUCCCUAUCUGCCGUGGGCGCUGGAGAAUUGAGGGGGGCUGCUCCUAGUACGAGAGGACCGGAGUGGACGCAUCACUGGUGUUCGGGUUGUCAUGCCAAUGGCACUGCCCGGUAGCUAAAUGCGGAAGAGAUAAGUGCUGAAAGCAUCUAAGCACGAAACUUGCC